Molecule: ribosomal RNA, 253 nt
Filed under: uncultured bacterium
Lineage: Bacteria
Description: partial 16S ribosomal RNA
Rfam family: Bacterial small subunit ribosomal RNA
Source: RNAcentral
UACGUAGGGUCCAAGCGUUAUCCGGAAUUACUGGGUAUAAAGGGUGCGUAGGCGGCCUUGUGCGUCGAAGGUUAAAGGCCAUGGCUCAACCAUGGGAAUGCCCUCGAUACGGCAAGGCUUGAAUAUGAGAGAGGAAGAUGGAAUUCCUGGUGUAGCAGUGAAAUGCGUAGAUAUCAGGAGGAACACCGGUGGCGAAGGCGGUCUUCUGGCUCAUUAUUGACGCUGAGGCACGAAAGUGUGGGGAGCGAACAGG